This 255-nucleotide ribosomal RNA is filed under the name uncultured bacterium. RNAcentral describes it as "partial small subunit ribosomal RNA". It matches the Rfam family "Bacterial small subunit ribosomal RNA", at positions 26 to 285 of the family's 1533-position model. The record is from RNAcentral.
AGGACGAACGCUGGCGGCGUGCUUAACACAUGCAAGUCGAGCGGAAAGGCCCUUCGGGGUACUCGAGCGGCGAACGGGUGAGUAACACGUGAGGAACCUGCCCUGGACUUUGGGAUAACCCUCGGAAACGGGGGCUAAUACCGAAUACGACACGGUCUCGCAUGAGAUCCGUGUGGAAAGUUUUUCGGUCUGGGAUGGUCUCGCGGCCUAUCAGCUUGUUGGUGGGGUAAUGGCCUACCAAGGCGACGACGGGUA